CUAAGGUAGCAUAAUCACUUGUUAUUUAAUUGAUAACUGGAAUGAAAGGUUGAACUAGCUUACCAAGUUUGUGAGAUUAUAUAGAAGAUUAAAGUUAAGGUAAGAAUUCUUUAAUUUUCUAGGGGACGAUAAGACCCUAGAAGCUUAACAAGUAGGUGGUUUGUUUUUAGAGUUUAUUUGUUUUACUGGGGCGGUAAAAGUAAUUAAGCUAUUUAUUAUUUUAAAGGAUCUUUGAGAUAAGAAAAAAAUGGGUAAGUUACUCUAGGGGUAA
RNAcentral lists this ribosomal RNA (271 nucleotides) under Gammarus balcanicus. RNAcentral describes it as "partial 16S ribosomal RNA". Lineage: Eukaryota; Metazoa; Arthropoda; Malacostraca; Amphipoda; Gammaridae. The record is from RNAcentral.